AACGAACGCUGGCGGCAGGCCUAACACAUGCAAGUCGAGCGGAUGACGGGAGCUUGCUCCUCGAUUCAGCGGCGACGGGUGAGUAAUACCUAGGAAUCUGCCUGAUAGUGGGGGACAACGUUUCGAAAGGAACGCUAAUACCGCAUACGUCCUACGGGAGAAAGCAGGGGACCUUCGGGCCUUGCGCUAUCAGAUGAGCCUAGGUCGGAUUAGCUAGUUGGUGAGGUAAUGGCUCACCAAGGCGACGAUCCGUAACUGGUCUGAGAGGAUGAUCAGUCACACUGGAACUAAGACACGGUCCAGACUCCUACGGGAGGCAGCAGUGGGGAAUAUUGGACAAUGGGCGAAAGCCUGAUCCAGCCAUGCCGCGUGUGUGAAGAAGGCCUUCGGAUUGUAAAGCACUUUAAGUUGGGAGGAAGGGCAGUAAGCUAAUACCUUGCUGUUUUGACGUUACCGACAGAAUAAGCACCGGCUAACUCUGUGCCAGCCGCCGCCGUAA
RNAcentral lists this ribosomal RNA (499 nucleotides) under uncultured bacterium. RNAcentral's name for it is "partial 16S ribosomal RNA". It matches the Rfam family "Bacterial small subunit ribosomal RNA", at positions 29 to 523 of the family's 1533-position model. The record is from RNAcentral.